Molecule: long non-coding RNA, 943 nt
Filed under: Chrysolophus pictus (golden pheasant)
Lineage: Eukaryota; Metazoa; Chordata; Aves; Galliformes; Phasianidae
Description: lncRNA (ENSCPIG00010008814.1)
Source: RNAcentral
GGGGACGGCUGGGGGCUGGGGGGGAGGGGCAGCCUGGCACAGCUCUUGCAGGGCAGUGGGGUUCUGCCAGGCACUGCAGCCCCACAGAGGGCCUGGCUGCUCCUGUGGGCUCUGAGCUGCUGCUGAUACAGGGACAGCUGUCCCCCUUUGCUGCAGCUGGCGGGGAGCUGCAGGUGAAGCUGCGGAGCGUGGCGGGGCAGCGCACAGCAUGGAGCGUGGCAGGGCAGAGGAGCCAAGGCUGGCAAGGCAGCACGGUGCCUUUGGAGAGUUCCAGCGAGUUCCAGGUGAGCGGGUGUCCUCCCAGGAUGCUGGGUGCCCUCCCUGCACACUGAGCCCAGCAUCGCACCUUCCCACAGAUUGUCUUUGAGAUCACCUCGCGGAUGUGGCCAAUGGAGGGGACCGUGGCACUGGAUGAUAUCGAGUACAGUGCCACUGGAGGCUGUGACUCCAAUCCAGAGGCACCAGGGAAAGUGAAGUCUUCCAGUGGCUUUGUGGCAGAAGUGGUGCUUGGCCUGCUGCUGGCUGUCAUCGUGCUGGCACUGGCAGCAGCUGUUUGCCGGUACUGGCUGAAAAGGAGAGCGCAGGGGAGCGGGAUGGCCAUGGAGAGCAACACUCCUCAGGGCUUCGACAACAUCACUUUUCAAGAUGACAAGGUCAUUAUAGCACAAGUGCCAAAAGAGCGGGAUGAAGACUGAACUAAGCCAGCACCACCCUCCACCUCUUCGCGCCCACGAGGUGUGCCCAGGGCAGAGCAUCCCUCCCGCAGAACCUCGCACUCCAUCCAGCCCGCAGCUGCAGCCCCACAGCACGCUCACUGCCCCACGUCUCACACCGCAGAGCAGCAGCAGGCAGCAGCCCCGGGGGCACAGCGCGGCCGUUUCCACCACUACCUCCACACACGUGGGAACAGCACUGCUGUUUUUUGUAACAUGAACUUUCCACA